This 240-nucleotide unclassified non-coding RNA is filed under the name soil metagenome. RNAcentral's name for it is "partial contains 5.8S ribosomal RNA, internal transcribed spacer 2, and large subunit ribosomal RNA". The record is from RNAcentral.
AACGCACGAGACCUGCGGACCUGCGGAGGGAUCAUUACCGAGUUUACAACUCCCAAACCCAAUGUGAACCAUACCAAACUGUUGCCUCGGCGGGGUCACGCCCCGGGUGCGUCGCAGCCCCGGAACCAGGCGCCCGCCGGAGGGACCAACCAAACUCUUUCUGUAGUCCCCUCGCGGACGUUAUUUCUUACAGCUCUGAGCAAAAAUUCAAAAUGAAUCAAAACUUUUAACAACGGAUCU